AUUGAACGCUGGCGGCAUGCUUUACACAUGCAAGUCGAACGGUAACAGGUUAAGCUGACGAGUGGCGAACGGGUGAGUAAUGCAUCGGAACGUGCCCGGUCGUGGGGGAUAACGCAGAGAAAGCUGCGCUAAUACCGCAUACGAUCUGAGGAUGAAAGCGGGGGACCGUAAGGCCUCGCGCGAUCGGAGCGGCCGAUGUCAGAUUAGGUAGUUGGUGGGGUAAAGGCUCACCAAGCCAACGAUCUGUAGCUGGUCUGAGAGGACGACCAGCCACACUGGGACUGAGACACGGCCCAGACUCCUACGGGAGGCAGCAGUGGGGAAUUUUGGUCAAUGGGCGAAAGCCUGAUCCAGCAAUGCCGCGUGCAGGAAGAAGGCCUUCGGGUUGUAAACUGCUUUUGUACGGAGCGAAAAGGUCUCCUCUAAUACAGGGGGCUCAUGACGGUACCGUAAGAAUAAGCACCGGCUAACUACGUGCCAGCAGCCGCCGUAA
This 493-nucleotide ribosomal RNA is filed under the name uncultured bacterium. Its description in RNAcentral is "partial 16S ribosomal RNA". It matches the Rfam family "Bacterial small subunit ribosomal RNA", at positions 30 to 523 of the family's 1533-position model. The record is from RNAcentral.